CACACUCAUUGUUGAAAAGGUUAAAUUGUUUACAAUUAUGAGGAGAACUAGCGGUGCCACAUCUUAAACUCCAAAUACGAAGGAUUGUUUAACGAUAGCGUUUUCUUUGUUUGUAUUUUCGUGUGAUUAUUCUUUAUUAACUCUUUUCAACAUUUUUUAAGCUAAAUUAAGUAUGUAAGUAGUCAUUUCAUCGCUAACGGCCUUCCCCCACUCUUUAAAAAAAUAACCCCGGGCGAGACAAAAUCCGGGGUAAGUAAUUAUUAUUUUAUUAUGUAAUAUUAUUAUAUAAUAUUACUUAGUUGCUUAUUAAAUUUAUAUAAGAAAAAAUCCUUAUGCAUGGAAAGAUUGUUUGUAUUCAUUUUAAUUUGAAAUAUAAUUUAUAGACACGCUUGUUUUUAUUAGAACUAAGAUUGCUAAAUAAAGAAAUUAUAGCGACAAAGAGAAAUUUCACCGAAUUGCUCAUAUUUGCUUAUAAUCAUAUGGCAGCGCUCCUCUCCCUCAUAAUUGUUAGCACAUAAAUGAUGCUCAUUACGAGUGUAAAAAGUGAUUUUUAAAAUAGAACUUAUAAAACCUGCAAAAGUGUAAAUUGUGAAUUUGUUUAAAUGCUUAUAGUUUAAUUAAAUGAAUUUGAAGUGAGUCAUGUGUUAAAUAGCUUGUUAAAAUGUACUGAACAAUAGAUUCUAAGUGGGUUCGAACUGGACACAGGGUGCUAAAUUUUACUAAAAUUGGUUCACACAACGUGAAACGUAAUUUUUAUAUAUAAAGAUGGCCAUAAACAACUAAUACCGGACAAAAACUGCGGUACUUACUUUAUAACUGCAUUUAAAACUAAAUUAAAUUUUAAAUAUUGUUGCCAAGCUUGAAAGCUGAAAUAGCUUGAUAGCCCUGACAGACGAGCAAAAUUAAUACGCAUUGAAAUUUUAUGGUGACAGACGGCAGGCUUGUGCAUUUAGACAGCUGAUUGUGAAUUUUUUUUAUUUAUUAAAAAAAAGUGAAAUAAAAAUAAAUAAGAGAAAUUACUAAUAGAAAUUUUGGUAUUUUUGGUAAGUCAAUAUAAAUUUAAGGUUUAUUAUUAACAACGUUCAAAGAUAAUAGAGUGAAAUUAAAAGCAAGAAUUAAUUGUAAUGCGGAAUAAGUGUGCGAAAAAGUUAAGAAUAUUGGAAAAAUGGGUAGUAAACUGCGUUGUUUAUUUUCUGCCAUCUAAAAAUAUUAAAAUUUGUUUUCGAUGAUAUACUUACAUAUAAUUUAGUUAGUAAUACAAAACUGCUUACCUCUGAUGCUGUAAACACAAAGGAGGCGACAGAUUUCAACCGACAUCUGUCAAAAAAUAGCAAAAAUCGGCAAUUUUUGAACGGUGUGGCCUACUCAAAUUUGGUAAAUUCAGCUAAAUGCACGAAAUUCUUGUGCAUUACAAAUUUUCAGUAACAUGGGUCAAAUGCGCAAGUAAAUGUAUAUUAAGCCCGCUAAUGCAUAUUAGCGCUGUCGUCUGUCAGGGCUAUAAGAGAAAAGCAUAAAUGUCUAAACACUUCUCUGCACAAUUUUUUUUUUCAUGGUAAAAUUUGUAUUUGCGAGUUAAAGCAUACGAUAUUGUAUUGUACAGUAUGGCAGCACAUGUACAAUAUAAACAAGUAAGGAAGGGCUAAAUUCGGGUGCAACUGAACAUUUUAUACUCUUGCAACUUGCAAGAAUCAAAGCCAGGAAAAUACUUUAAGGUGUAAAACCAAUGAAAUAUAGUAAACUCAGUUGAAUGUUCUAAAAUUCUGAUAUUAGGCACAAAGAUGCACUGUAACUGCACUGGGAUAACUCACAUAUUGGCCGAUACAUGCGGUACAAAGUCACCCCGAAGUUCGAAAAUUUGUACAUAAAGUAUAUAGUACCUUACUUUAAGUUUAUAAUUUUUGAUCAUAAGGUUGCACACAGUAAAGAUUUUAAUUGUGCAAAGUUUUAUCUCGUUGUGUUAAUUUCUUCUUGAUUUGUGUACUGGAAAGUAAACGAAUCAAGUGAAAUUUAAAAUUCUGCUAUAUGGGAAGUAGGCGUAGCAUUUUCACAAUGUGACAUAGAAAUGUCAACAGAAUACUACAUACUAAAUUAUGUCAAAAUCGAUUGGUCGGGUCUCGAUAUAUUGGAUUUCACCAAAAAUUGGGCGGUGCCACCCCCAUCGUCCAUUUUUCAAACCGGCUCCAGUAAAACUUUCAUCUCGGUGGAAAAAUUCAAUGUUUCUGGCAUAUUAAAUUAUCGCUUUUUGUGGUUUUUAACAGUACCGUUUUAUGAGGAGAGAGCAGGGUCAUCCUCCGAUUUCAUCCGUUUUAAGACUGUCGGUAGAAGUUCUUAUAAGAUUAGUACCCACCAAAUUUGAUUAUUGUAGCUUAAGUGGUUUGGUGGUGGUUGGCGAGGCCACUCCCACUUUUUAAAAAAAUCUUUCUCAUGUGCGCUUAGCCAAUGCAAUCCUCUGUACCUAAUUACAGUUUCAUAUCUUAAUUUAAUGCUUAGUUAUGACGCUUUAUAUACUUUCGGUUAAAGACGAUUUGUGGGCGUGGCAGUGAUCCGAUUACGCCCAUCUACGUACUCGAUUUUUUUUGUACUAAGGUGUCCACAUUACCAAGUUUCAUCGAGAUAUCUCAAUUUUUACUCAAGUUACACUUAUAAAUAUAACCCUAUAUCUAUCUUUUAGGUUUAGGUGAUACGUACAACCGUAAGGUGAACAAAACUAUAACACUCUGUAGCAACUUGAUCCAAGAGUAUAAAAAUUAGUGAGUCAACUUUGAGAAGAGAAAUAAAAGAAGUUAACUAAUAGACAAAUUCCAAGAGCUUAUAACAAAUUAUAAAAUUGUACGCAUUUUAACAAUGCUCUUUUGACAAUUAAGUAAUGAGACUGAUUUUAUUGCCGCGCUUGUGGUAAACCUGUGACCUGAAAUUCCCUUUCUCUUUUUUCGACAUCCCUCCCCUCUCCAUUGAUAUAUGCACCAUCGCUCUAGCUUGUUUAGUUCGUCUGCUGCUUCAAGUUGAGUAGACGUGUGUUUGUAGUUUGAUUAGUUUGAUAGUUCUCUUAGAAACGAAAACUAAUCGCCAAAGCUCACAAUGGUUGUCGCGCGCCCCCCGCCCGGAAAAAGUUCGCAUGAGCUAGUCGAAGGUGAAAACGAUGAUUAUUGUCUUUUUUAAUAAUGGUGGAAUAGUCCACAAAGAAUUCGUACCACCUUCCUCAACUGUGAAUCAAGUCUACUAUUGCCAAAUACUCGAAAUAUUGCGAAAAUGAGUCAACAGGGUGCGACUAGACAUCGCUCUUAACUUAACUCUUCAUCACGACAACGCGCCAUGCCACACCGCCCUCAGCGUGUUUGGCUUCUAAAGGGAUCGCCGUGUUGCAACAGCCGCCUUAUUCGCCCGACAUGUCAUCCAGGCGGUCGUGACGAGUGUACUCGCGAACAUCCCAGUCGAAGCGUUCUAGAAAUGUUAUGAAGCAUGGUAAACGCGCUGGAAUCGCUGUUUAGCUGCCCAAGGGGACUACUUUGAAGAGGAUGACAGAGUUGUAGAAUAAUUUUCAAAUACGCGAUUUUUAUGGAAUCAGUCUCAUUACUUAAUUGUCAUACCUCGUAUUUUUACCAUUAUCGUGCAUAUAGUAUGCACCUUGUUUAGUGUCGAACAGUUCGCAGAGAUCUUUCCUAUUUGCGAUGUUGACGAGGCUUUUCUCAGUGUAGUUGGCGUAGAUUGUUGGGUCGUCCUUUAUGUGGAUUGAGCAGAGAUAACUCAAAUUCCAACUUUCGUCCAACCAUAUUUUACAAAGAAGCUGAUGCAUACUCCUUAUCAGUUCUUUGCCGCCGUGCUUGUAAAGCUCGGCCGGCAAUCCAUCGGCCCCCCCUGCUUUGUUCUUCUUCAGACAGGUAAUUGCUUCUUCAUGGUCGGGCAAUGAAACGCCUGCUCCAUCCUCAUCGAUUGGGGAAUCGGGCUCGCUUUCUUCUCGUGUUGUACUUUCAGUGCCAUUCAGCAGGCUGGAGAAGUGUUUCCUCCAUAAUUUUAGUAUGCUCUCAGCAUCCGUUACCAAUUCACCUGCUGUUGGUCGCCACAUCCUUUUGUAAAAUUUUCGAGCAUUAUCCUUGUCGGCCAGCUUUAAGCUCUCUCUCUCUCUCCCAUCCUGCACGUGUUGUGGUCGAUCGUAACGUUGCGAGGUAAACAAUCUCUUUUCUCUCCGCUGCAACACGGCAUUCCUCGUCGUACCAGCUGUUUCCAUUUUCCGAAAACCAAUGGUUUCGGUUGCAGCUGUACGUGAGGAGCUUUAAAUAGCACGAUUUUGACAUCGUGACAGGGGCAGCUCUCAUAGUUUCGCUCUAAGCGCUCAUAGAAGGCAUCUUUGGUCCCAUCAUCCUUCUCUUCCGUCGGGCCGUGGACGCAAAUCAGCAAUAUGUUGAAGAACCUCGCUUUGAUGCAGACUGCGGCUAGACGUUCAUUCACCGGAGUGAAUGAUAGUAUUCGGCGACGGAGUCUCUCUCCCGCGGCGAAUCCCAAAAUGGUCUAGUUGGCCGCCAGGGUCGUGCAUUUUGACGCCGUUAGAUUAUUUCUUGUGGGGCUUCGUCAAAUCUAUGGUCUAUGCCAACAAACCAGCGACGAUUGAUGAACUUCGUAAGAAUUUCAAACGUGAAAUCUCAGCAUUAUCGGCCGAUUUAUGCUUAAAAACCGUCGAAAAUUGGAUUGAUCGUCUGCAUUUCUGCAAGCGCGCCCAUGGUGACCACGCAAAAGAAUCGAACUUCAUACAUAAUGGCAUCGAAUGUACUUUCAUACGAAGAAAAAAUUUCAUUGAUAUUCCAAACCGUUCUUAUUUUAUGAAACAAAAAAAUCUUUUCUAACGCUCUUAUUGAAAAACCCUUAACUUGCAUUUGAACUUUUUGACACACUUUUGCUACUCUAACUAAGAUAUCAUUUGAUGCCAAGUCAAGACUUUACGGUAGAUUACAUAUAAAAUACAGUUUUUUCAUGGGUGCGAUAUGUUCAGUUUAAAAAAAAUAAAUAAAAAACAAGAAAACAUUUGCUUGAAAGUGUUUGCGCGCGAACAACUUUUGUUGGAUUCUGCUCAUUUUGAUCCUUACUUUCGUCUUCUUCUACGCGAUUAUAGCCGAGUUAACAACAGCCCGCCAUUCGUUUCUUCUUUUCGCUACGUGGCGUCAAUUGGAUAUUCCAAGCGAAGCCAGGUCCUUCUCCACUUGGUCGUUCCAACGGAGUGGAGGUCUUUCUCUUCCUCUGCUUCCCCCUGGCGGAUACUGUGUCGAAUACUUUCAGAGCUGGAGUGUUUUCGUCCAUUCGGACAACAUGACCUAGCCAGCGUAGCCGCUGUAUUUUAAUUCCCUGAACUAUGUCAAUGUCGUCAUACAUCUCAUACAGCUCAUCGUUCCAUCGAAUGCGAUAUUCGCCACUGUAGUAAAUGCCGCAAGGACUACUUGUCUCAGUUCUUGUCCCAUUCAUCGCAUUUCUUGGACUGCAGUGAUCUCAGCCUUUAUUUUCGUGAGGACAUCAACCAGCUGGGGAGCGGCACCUUCCCAAUUAAGGGUCCGGACAUUCCAGGUGCAUGCCCUCAAAUCGUAAUUCAUAACUCGUUUGCCAUGGUCGUCCUCAAAAGGGGGAUCUCUUAUCCGAGGCAGAUUAAUAUUUUUCAUUGGGGGUGUUUUUUUUACGUGGCGUGUCCCGAACCCAGCGCACAACCCUAUGUAGGGGAUGUUUCGCCUUCUUACUUUAGCUCGCCUUUAAACGGAUGUUCUUGGGCUACCCAGAGGAUACUUGGUCAAAGACCGGAUGUCGUGAGCGGGCUUAAGCCAUAUUUAAAAUAAUCAUUUCUGGCCACUCUCAAGUGAAUGACGAUCAGGGCGAUCAGAGACUUUCCUCACUUGCGGGCAAUUGCUUUGAAAGGCCGGUUUCAAUUUUUUAAGGUAUGGUCAAAUGUCGAUAUUAACAUUUUUGUGUAGUUGUACAAUUUGUGUAUAUAUUGUCAUAGUUCUAGGUGUUAGAUUCACUUUUUAUAUUCCUAUGGUGGAUAGUUGAAUGUAUACCUUUUUUUAACAAAAAUGUUAAACCUUUCAAAAUGGAGAACUUUGAGUAGGUAUCCAUCGUUUACACUGAAAUUUCCUCGUUUCAACUAUUAUGGCUUCAGUUUUGUUUCGCCUUUCGCUUUCACUCAAUUGAUAAAUUAGUAGACAUCCGUGUCACUUUCGCGUUUUAUUUGUAAACUUUUUGCUACUCACAGAAAUUAAUCUGUUCUAAUUAAUUUCGAAUAUUGUAUUGAGUAAAUAAACGUUGGUCAUAAUUGACGGAUAUAUCAAAAUUUAUUGUUUAAGAAACAUUGCGUCAAAUAUAAAAUUUUACGUUUUAACUUUGACAAAAAAAAUCAAAAUUGUACUAUGACUGAUUGGAGCAAAGUCAUAUAUUCAUGAGUGACGAAAAGGGAACAUAACGCUCACAUUAAAUGUGAUUUAAAGUCGCAUGACCCUGGAAGGUGUUGGUAAAUAUUUGGAAGUCGAAUUAAAAGGUAACUUAAAUUUAUGAGGAAAGAACUUUGGGACGUUAUAUGUAUUUCAACACCGAAGAAUUUCUGAUUACACGUCAAAAAUUGCAACGACGAAAUGUGGAACCGCAUCCGUAUAUGUGGGUCUAGAGGACGGAAUCUUGUGGAGGGUAUGUUCAGAAACUCUCUGUUGUUUUAGAUAAAACACUAAGUAUUAAAAUCAGUUUGAAUAAAAGUAAAGUUUGCUAAAAAAAUAGAUAAAUACAUAUGUACAUGAGUAUAAAAUAGCAGCUAAUGUCAAAAAAACAUGUAUUUUUCAUAUUAAUCAAUGAAAAUAUUCAUUAAAGGAGUCUUUGUGUUUAGAUAUUAUUUACUUCAGAAUUUUCUUUAUGAUUGAUAUAUUUAAAUCAACAUUUAAAAUCAAAAUAUAUAGACUUAAACAACUUCGAUAUUAUACAAGGUGCUUUACAAAGUAAUCUGCAUAACGCUUUCCUUUCAUAAACAAAUGCAUUUUUCCGAAUAGGAAGAAGUCGCACGGUGCAAUCAGCUGAAUAUGGGGAGUGUUUAAUGGUUAAAAUGUGAUUUUUGGUCAAAUAAUCGGCCACAAGUGUCGAUCGAUGAGACGGCGCAUUAUCGUGCAAUAAACGCCAACUUUCCUCUUCGCAAUAUUCGGGCCGAACAUGUCGAAUACGGCACACCAAACGCUUCAAAAUUCCAAGGUAGAAUACCGCAUUAACGUUUUGACCGGGUGGAACAAAUUCUUUGUGGACAAUACCCUUGGAAUCAUAAAAACAAAUCAGCAUUGUCUUCACUUUUUACUUCUCACUCUCUAUUCAACACUCUGGCGAUACGUUUCGGGAUCAUAUUGGAAACACCACGUUUCGUCGCCGGUCACAAUAUUGUAAAGGAAGUUUUUGUCCAUUUUGACCGCUUUGAAGAUGUCUUUCGAAUGUUGUAUUCUGAGCAUUUUUUGGUCGUCGGUCAAUUUGUGUAGAACAAACGGUGCUAACACCUUUCGUAAGCCUAAAUGUUCGGUCAAAAUGCAAUAAAGCGAUGUUUUGGAUAUGUUCAAUUCCAUUUCCAUUAAUUUCAAUAAUGAUUUCGGCUAAUUUUUGAUGAAUUCACGCACAGUUUCAAUGGAAUUUCCGGUGAUCACGGAUUUUGAUUGGCUCACAUGUUGAUCUUCAUUUAUGUCCCCACGACCACUUUGAAAACGUUGAAACCACUCGUGCACUCUGCUAUGGGAAAGGCAAUCAUCGCCAUAAACUUAUUUCAUCAAUUGAAACGUUCCGGUAAAAGUUUUACCAAUUUUAAAACAUAUUUUAAUGUUAGCUCUUUGGUCGAAGAUCAUUUUCGCACCGAUAACCCAAAUAUACUGUUUCAUCAAUUGAAACGUUUCGAAAAAAGUUUUACCAAUUUUAAAACAUAUUUUAAUUUUAGAUCUUUGUUCGAAGAUCAUUUUCGCACCGAUAACACAAAUAUACUGUCCCUUGAAACACAAUAUCUUCAUUUCCAAUCAAUCAAACGUCAUGAAACUCUCGCUGACAAUCGAUAAAGAUAGCAGAGACACCAGGGAGCGGUAGAUUUAAAAAGUCCUGUUUACUUUGGAACGCACCUUGUAAGAGUGAUACACAAAUUUUUGAUAUGGUAGUAAGCUUGAGCUUUUGGCAAGGGCAUGAAUAAUGAAAAUUUGCAUUGUCGUUAUGGACCAGUUUAUAUACAUAUAUUAUAUUUGUUAUACUUUUUCUAAAUUAACCGAAAGUAUAAAAACGUCUUGAGUUUUUCAUAUAUAAAAAAGUAGCUAUAUAUAUUCCAAUUUUGUUUAAAAAUAUCUAUAAAAGAAACACAUUUUUCAUUUCAGCUGCUUUCCCGGAAUUUACAGUGGCGAACAAAAAUCUACAUACACCCCCUAUUUCCAUUGAUAUGAGUGCACAAAAAGUUUUUAGAAAAAUGUAUUUAUACAGUUUUAUUCUAAUAUUUAUUAUAAUAACAAUUAACUAAAAAAAUUCUUUAUUUAACAUAAAACAACAAAUUUAUGGAAGAAACACUCAAAAAUUGCUUUGACAAAAGUCUACAUACAGUUCAAAUCUCAUUCUAUGUACAUUGUAAUAUUAACUUACUGGUAACGUUAGCCUUUUUUUAUUUCAGUGUGUUUAUUGUUUGAUAUUUAUUGAAUUUAGUUGUGGUUUAAACAUUUCAAUAGCUAUAAUGGCUCCGCGAAAUGAAAUAUCAAUUGAUGUAAGAAAUUUGGUGAUAAAAGUAAUUUCUAAAAUUUUAAACUUGAGUCGAGCAACAGUACAGACAAUUCUAAAAAACUGGUUCCAACGAAAAUAAACCGCGCAGUGGACGCCCAAAAAAACAAUCUCGUAGAGACGUCAGCCUGAUUCUCAACGAAGUAGACCAAAAUCCAAAAGUAAAUGCUCCAAAUAUAGCCGAACGCAUAGUAAGUACGUCACAAAUAAGUAUCCAACCAAGAACAAUAAAAAAAAACUCCAAACGAUAACGGAUUCCACAGUAGAACACCACGGAAGAAACCUUUUAUUUCUGAAAAAAUCGGAAACUUCGUUUAAAGUUCGCCAAGAAACACAAAGAAAAGGAAAUGGAUUUUUGGAAAAAAGUUUCAUUUACAGAUGAUUCUAAAUUCACCCUUUUUGGUAGUGAAGAAAGGGCUAAAAUUUGAAGGAAAACUAACGCCACGCUUGAACCGAAGAACGUAGUAUCAAUUGUGAAGCUCGGUGGCGGCAGCGUAAUGGUUUGGGGAGCUG
This is an RNA transcript of Bactrocera dorsalis (oriental fruit fly), 9249 nucleotides long. RefSeq lists it as uncharacterized. The transcript has 4 exons. The record is from RefSeq and is a predicted model, not a curated record. Lineage: Eukaryota; Metazoa; Arthropoda; Insecta; Diptera; Tephritidae.